RNAcentral lists this ribosomal RNA (370 nucleotides) under uncultured bacterium. RNAcentral's name for it is "bacterial SSU rRNA". It matches the Rfam family "Bacterial small subunit ribosomal RNA", at positions 527 to 896 of the family's 1533-position model. The record is from RNAcentral.
GGGGGGGGCAAGCGUUGUUCGGAAUUACUGGGCGUAAAGGGCUCGUAGGCGGCCAACUAAGUCGGACGUGAAAUCCCCAGGCUCAACCUGGGAACUGCGUCUGAUACUGGAUGGCUUGAAUUCGGGAGAGGGAUGCAGAAUUUCAGGUGUAGCGGUGAAAUGCGUAGAUAUCUGGAGGAACACCGGUGGCGAAGGCGGCAUCCUGGACCAACACUGACGCUGAGGAGCGAAAGCCAGGGGAGCAAACGGGAUAGAUACCCCGGUAGUCCUGGCCCUAAACGAUGAAUGCUUGGUGUGGCGGGUAUCGAUCCCUGCCGUGCCGAAGCUAACGCAUUAAGCAUUCCGCCUGGGGAGUACGGUCGCAAGGCUG